GAUAAUAUCAUGUUUCAUGGUGGGAUGUAUGUUGGGCUGUGCCAAGGGCAUGCCUUGUUGUCUAAUGGGAGACAACAGCACUGUGCAGCCUUCAGGUGUCAACACUAUAGGCCCUGUGGGCCCCUCAGGAAGGGUCAGAUACUCUUGGAGCUCGAGUAUUUUUUUUCAGGGAAGUGUCUAGAAGCCUACAGCUGUGUUGACAAGCAGCUGACAUAGGGCAAUUAUGCAUGCCCAGGGAGAAGAGGACUGAUUUGGCUUUACCUUCUCUGCUGGAGCAUCUGUAUCCAUUUGGAGAUGUACACACUGCUCUAUUGCCUCACUGUGAAAUAAACUCUCUGGGUAGGACUCUGUCAAAAGCUUCUGCCUUCCACUAUACAUUGAGCUUGAUGUUUGCAUAAGGAUUUCUAAGGAAAGGGAUAUGCAAUUUAGGCUUUCUAUGCAGAAAGUGGAAAAUGUUUUUGUCUUCCAUUCAAAUCCUAGUGAGGGAAGAAAAAGAACCUUUUUGCAGGCCGCCUUACAGAGAUUAUUCCUUCUGUCCAUCACUUUUAUAUUCUCCUCAGGAAAGGAAGCUUUUGACACAUGCUCCUUAUUUGAACUAAUUUAAGUCUCCCCUUCUCCUCCCCAAGAUUUUCUUCUACAAACAUUUCUCGGUGUAAAGAAAGGUAGAGCAAGUUUUUCUAUUUGUAAGUCAGCUGUAUGAGGUAGAGGGAGGGUGUCACAUGAUAAGUUUGGAUUGCAUUGGUUAUGUUGACUUUCUUGAAAGUAACAAUUCCUUUGUGUGUUUUUCUUGUCCUUCUGACCCAUCCCAUAAGUAGGUCCAAAAAGUUAAAUCUCUUGGCUUUGACACAGAAAAAGGUCUUUUGCACAAUGAAAGUUGGAGUCACAAAAGUAACUUUCCUGGAAUAGCAGUGGAAUGGUGUGCAGGAUUCAUGAAGCAAGCCUGGAUGAACUCCCUGAAUCAGGAAUCCGGGCAUUUAGAAGCCAGAAGAAGAAAGGGGCUGACCAAAACCUACUUAUUCAAAGAAGAAAGCCUGUCUGAGAGGCAGAAGCAAUCAGUGCUCCCUGGCAAAGAAUCACAUCACUGUUAUGUACUGAAAAUGUUUAUUUUGUUCCUGAGACUGAAAAUGGCAGGGAACACAGCAUGCAAUUUGGAAGAGCUGAUGGCUGCAGACACAAAUGGAAGCUCUUAAGGACAUCUGUAUGAGAUUUUUCUGGAAACUUCUAGAAAACAUUCACUUUUUGGUGCCACAUGUUUCAUUCCCAAAAAAAAAGGAUUUGACUCCUUAGAUGGAGUUUUUGGUAGUCUCUGGACUAACUUUCAGAGCCAGAGCACAGGGAAUUCAGAGACAAGACCCUGCCUCCCCCAGAACAGAGCCAAGUGUUAUGGGGAGGUGCCACAUGUCCCCUUCCAGAAAUGACAGACCCUGCCCUUGUCUUCACUCCUUUCUAAGUCAGAGGUGGUCUGAGCUGGCUGCCUGGACUGAAGGUCCAUCACUUCUGUGCCAGUCCCCUGCCCCAUGAUUGUUUCCAAGGGUGUCACAAUGUUUAUACCUGAACUAAUUUAAAACUGAAGGAAAUGGAAGGGGCUGGACAGGGUGGAGACUGCUAUAAUGUUAGCUCAGUAUGACUGUGAUAAGUGCUGACGAGGGGAUCUUUCAAAGAGCAAGGUGGUUUCCAUGAUGUCAAUGUAUUGUACAGGUAGCCAAACAGAAGCAAUGGCACAAACAUAUGCAAGAUGCAGCCAAUACCACUGACCACAAAUAAACACAUUAUCUAGACACA
Long non-coding RNA from Apteryx rowi (Okarito brown kiwi), 1782 nucleotides. Lineage: Eukaryota; Metazoa; Chordata; Aves; Apterygiformes; Apterygidae. The record is from Ensembl.